RNAcentral lists this ribosomal RNA (497 nucleotides) under uncultured bacterium. RNAcentral describes it as "partial 16S ribosomal RNA". It matches the Rfam family "Bacterial small subunit ribosomal RNA", at positions 28 to 507 of the family's 1533-position model. The record is from RNAcentral.
GAUGAACGCUGGCGGCGUGCCUAAUACAUGCAAGUCGAGCGAACGGACGAGAAGCUUGCUUCUCUGAUGUUAGCGGCGGACGGGUGAGUAACACGUGGAUAACCUACCUAUAAGACUGGGAUAACUUCGGGAAACCGGAGCUAAUACCGGAUGAUAUUUUGAACCGCAUGGUUCAAAAGUGAAAGACGGUCUUGCUGUCACUUAUAGAUGGAUCCGCGCUGCAUUAGCUAGAUGGUAAGGUAACGGCUUACCAAGGCAACGAUGCAUAGCCGACCUGAGAGGGUGAUCGGCCACACUGGAACUGAGACACGGUCCAGACUCCUACGGGAGGCAGCAGUAGGGAAUCUUCCGCAAUGGGCGAAAGCCUGACGGAGCAACGCCGCGUGAGUGAUGAAGGUCUUCGGAUCGUAAAACUCUGUUAUUAGGGAAGAACAUAUGUGUAAGUAACUGUGCACAUCUUGACGGUACCUAAUCAGAAAGCCACGGCUAACUACGUG